UAAUCUAUAAACUGCGACAUAACUGUUUCAGGGAAGGAAUAAAUUUGUCCUACAAAAUAAAAAAAUUGUGGUGAAUAUACAUCUGUUGCAACUACAGGAUGGGCUAUGAUGAUGUCCCACAGCAUCCAUUAGAAAGACUUCGACCAAUGAGAGAGAACUAUGAACUGAGAAUGAAAACCUUUCAGCAAUGGUCUAAUCCAAAUAUAUCUCCGAAGGAACUGUGUGACGAUGGAUUUUAUUACAUGGGAACAUCUGAUAGAGUGCAGUGUGCAUUUUGUGGGUGUGUUCUGAGUGGAUUGAGACCUGGCGAUAACGUUCAUCAACAGCAUGCUAUUAAUUUUGGACAAUGUCAAAAAGUUUGCAAGUAUGCAAAAUAUGAAGAGAGACUUGCAUCAUUCCGAAAUUGGCCACAUAAUCUACGUCAGAGUCCUAUGGAUCUGGCUUCAGCUGGAUUUUAUUAUACAGGCAUACUUGACAAAUGUACAUGUUUCAAGUGUGGUGGGUGUGUCUGUGAUUGGGAAGCUGAUGAUGUACCGUUAACAGAACAUACGAGAAUGUUUCCGGAUUGUCCACUAAGUCGAACAAUAUCCUAGACGGAAAUACCUCCUUAACAAUCUUAGGAAACGACGCUACAGCUUUUCAUCAUACUUGUAUCACAGUCUCAAUCUAGUAUUCGGCUUGCUUUAUUGAUUUUGUUUAUUCACUUUUUCUUAUUGUGUAUAAUCCAUUAAAGUUUUAAAGAUAAAUUUCUUAUAAAAGAACUAGUGACCGAAAGGUCAAAAUAAUAUUCAAUUGUAUAUUCAUAAUUAUUAAAGCGACAAACGGAAAAUAAAACCAAAACAUGAAUUUAUCAAGAUAAUGAAAUAUGUCAAAUGGAACUUGCUAAUUUCUUAUAUCUUCAGUAAACAUAAUGUAAAAUAUUCGGAAUUGUUGGAGGGUAAAACACAGUUAUACCAUUGAAAAAUACAAAAUUCAAUGUUAAGUUAUCUUAUAAAUCUUUACUAUUAUUA
Mytilus californianus (California mussel) is the source of this 1010-nucleotide long non-coding RNA. RefSeq lists it as uncharacterized. Lineage: Eukaryota; Metazoa; Mollusca; Bivalvia; Mytilida; Mytilidae. The record is from RefSeq and is a predicted model, not a curated record. The transcript is spliced from 3 exons.